This 253-nucleotide ribosomal RNA is filed under the name uncultured bacterium. Its description in RNAcentral is "partial 16S ribosomal RNA". It matches the Rfam family "Bacterial small subunit ribosomal RNA", at positions 524 to 776 of the family's 1533-position model. The record is from RNAcentral. RNAcentral also lists the same sequence under 1 other name.
GACGAAGGAUCCAAGCGUUAUCCGGAUUCAUUGGGUUUAAAGGGUGCGUAGGCGGGUUUAUAAGUCAGUGGUGAAAGCCGAUCGCUUAACGAUCGAACUGCCAUUGAUACUGUAGACCUAGAGUAUAGAUGAUGUUGGCGGAAUAUGACAUGUAGCGGUGAAAUGCAUAGAUAUGUCAUAGAACACCGAUUGCGAAGGCAGCUGACAAAACUAUAACUGACGCUGAUGCACGAAAGUGCGGGGAUCAAACAGG